Streptomyces sp. SirexAA-E is the source of this 199-nucleotide small RNA. It matches the Rfam family "Actinobacteria sRNA Ms_IGR-5". NCBI's taxonomy places the organism in Bacteria, Bacillati, Actinomycetota, Actinomycetes, Kitasatosporales, Streptomycetaceae. The record is from Rfam.
ACACGCUGAAAGGAGGUGAUCCGAAAAGUGCAGUCUUAUCGGAUUCGUGAGGUGGCUGCGGGCUGACAGCCCGUCGUCGCACACCGUGCACCUCGGCAGGCUGUCUGCCGAAACCCAAGCAGUCACCGACCCGCAGGCUCGCCGGUAAGUCCGGCCGGCUCCUCCGCAAGGAGGGACCAGAGCCUGCGGGUUUCUGCGU